Molecule: ribosomal RNA, 94 nt
Filed under: Acinetobacter baumannii
Lineage: Bacteria; Pseudomonadati; Pseudomonadota; Gammaproteobacteria; Moraxellales; Moraxellaceae
Description: partial 16S ribosomal RNA
Rfam family: Bacterial small subunit ribosomal RNA
Source: RNAcentral
UAACUGAAGAGUUUGAUCAUGGCUCAGAUUGAACGCUGGCGGCAGGCUUAACACAUGCAAGUCGAGCGGGGGAAGGUAGCUUGCUACCGGACCU